CAGAGUUCGUGCCCUCACGGGUAGAUCUCCCACCCUGUGUUAUUAUACCUUUGUUGCUUUGGCGGGCCGCCCUCGGCUACCGGCUUCGGCUGGUGAGUGCCCGCCAGAGGACCCCAAACUCUGAAUGUUAGUGUCGUCUGAGUACUAUACAAUAGUUA
RNAcentral lists this unclassified non-coding RNA (158 nucleotides) under uncultured Helotiales. RNAcentral's name for it is "sequence contains ITS1". Lineage: Eukaryota; Fungi; Ascomycota; Leotiomycetes; Helotiales. The record is from RNAcentral.